UAAAAUUCUACCCAAGGCUGGGGGAAAGUCAAGAUCAACACAAUGCCACGUGGUCUUUUUUUCUUCUCUCUUUUUGCUGCUUCAUGCAGCCGUCUUGUUUUGACGUGUUUCAGAUGCAGACAGAAACUCCUGCUUUGAUUUCCAUGCCAAAGAUGAAAAUGUUUUGCUAAUCUGGAAACAUCCAGAAGAAAGAAAAGAACACAGAUCAGAAUAGACUGACUGCUUUUCCUGAAGUUAAUUGUGGACGCGCAGUUAACCCCCUCACCCCACCCUUCCUCGCUCGACCCCCCGCUCAGAAGGAAGACGACCACAAGUCUGUGAUUUAGACUUUCUUGAAAGCAGUCUGGCAGAGCCGUCACGCUUCCACCUGAUGGAGGGUUUCACGCUGUAAUUACACCGACACAGAGGACACCACAAAAGCUGUCCGCUUAGGAGUCCACCACAGGAUUUCAGGAUGAGUUAAGGAUGCCUACAGUCAGAAGGUUUCCAGAAUCAUCCUUGGAGGAUCAGUUAGAUGAAAGGCUGUUCUUCACAUCUGCCCUGGUCUGGUCUGUUCUGUAGGAACAGAUGGGAACGGCCCACCAAACUCCAACAGAAAAUAAAAGCCUAACCAUUACAAAUAAAAACUCAAAUCUUUGUCCUCAUUUCUGAGCUCAGUGGGUAUCUGAAAACAUGGAGUUUGCUGAUGGAUCAGUAUUCCAGAUCCUUGUAUGAAGAAAAGGAGAAU
Girardinichthys multiradiatus is the source of this 727-nucleotide long non-coding RNA. RefSeq lists it as uncharacterized. The record is from RefSeq and is a predicted model, not a curated record. The transcript is spliced from 3 exons. Lineage: Eukaryota; Metazoa; Chordata; Actinopteri; Cyprinodontiformes; Goodeidae.